ACGCUUGAAGUCAGUCGCGUUGGCCGGAAAUCAACCUUGCUUCUGCUGGGUGUACUUUCUGGUUGACGGGCCAGCAUCAGUUUUGACCAGUGGAAAAAGUCCAAGGGAAUGUGGCAUCUUCGGAUGUGUUAUAGCCCUUGGUCGUAUACACCGGUUGGGACUGAGGAAUUCAGCACGCCGAAAGGCCGGGUCUUUGACCACGUUCGUGCUUAGGAUGCUGGCAUAAUGGCUUUAAUCGACCCGUCUUGAAACACGGACCAAGGAGUC
This 267-nucleotide ribosomal RNA is filed under the name Coprinopsis strossmayeri. Its description in RNAcentral is "partial large subunit ribosomal RNA". It matches the Rfam family "Eukaryotic large subunit ribosomal RNA", at positions 419 to 675 of the family's 3401-position model. Lineage: Eukaryota; Fungi; Basidiomycota; Agaricomycetes; Agaricales; Psathyrellaceae. The record is from RNAcentral.